UACAGAGGGUGCAAGCGUUAAUCGGAAUUACUGGGCGUAAAGCGCGCGUAGGUGGUUUGUUAAGUCUGAUGUGAAAGCCCUGGGCUCAACCUGGGAACGGCAUUGGAAACUGGCUUACUAGAGUGCGGUAGAGGGGUGUGGAAUUCCCGGUGUAGCAGUGAAAUGCGUAGAUAUCUGGAGGAACACCGGUGGCGAAGGCGGCAUCCUGGACCGGCAUUGACGCUGAGGAGCGAAAGCCAGGGGAGCAAACGGG
This 253-nucleotide ribosomal RNA is filed under the name uncultured bacterium. RNAcentral describes it as "partial 16S ribosomal RNA". It matches the Rfam family "Bacterial small subunit ribosomal RNA", at positions 524 to 776 of the family's 1533-position model. The record is from RNAcentral.